Long non-coding RNA from Brassica oleracea var. oleracea, 514 nucleotides. RefSeq lists it as uncharacterized. The record is from RefSeq and is a predicted model, not a curated record. The transcript is spliced from 3 exons. NCBI's taxonomy places the organism in Eukaryota, Viridiplantae, Streptophyta, Magnoliopsida, Brassicales, Brassicaceae.
ACCCACAUACAAAAGAGAAACAAGAAAAGAGAGAAGAAAUUGAGAGAUAUAGAACGAUGAAGACGCAAGUGACUAUACUAGCGGCUCUUAUGAUUCUGGUGGCUUUGUCUUCCACCUUGGAUAUGGUGACGGUAACAGAGGCUCAAGUAAACUGCAUCGACAGUUGCACCACCGGCUGCGUCAAGCCCACCCCAAAAGAGACGAUCCGAUGCCACCACGAAUGCGACAAAAAGUGCAACCGAGGUGGUAAAGGAGGAAGUGAGACUGGCGCUUAAACUUUAUUUUCACUAAGAUCCACAAAGAUACAACUGUGUUGUAAUCUUAUCUUUAUAAUCCUAUUCCUAUCUUUCUAAAACGUAUUAUGCAUAUUGUAAGUUGUAACCAAUAAAUCAAGUGGUUGUAGUUCAUCGUUGUGUUAAAAUGGUAAAGGAUUUGUCCUAUAGAUCAAAUCCCUCCCACCAACUGUGGACCUCCUUGUUGGCUUUCUAUAUAGUCUAUGCUUCUGGGUUAUUCA